Long non-coding RNA from Gorilla gorilla gorilla (western lowland gorilla), 973 nucleotides. RefSeq lists it as uncharacterized. Lineage: Eukaryota; Metazoa; Chordata; Mammalia; Primates; Hominidae. The transcript has 3 exons. The record is from RefSeq and is a predicted model, not a curated record.
UGCUAUAAGAACCUCAUUAAGAACAGUGAGGAAAUAUGUUCCUCGAAGCUUGGCAGUGCCACAAUAUUUAUUGCUGUUACAGUAAAUUAUUAGGAGCAAAUCUCUUCAGUGGUAUACUGAAGGCCCAUGCUUAUUUAGAGAAAAUGAGAGACAUGAAGCAUCUAAGAAGACAGGAAAUAAAAGAAAUGGUGCUUGAAGACGGUGCUUCCCAUUCUUCCUGAUGGAAGGAUAUGCAUAGAAAAUGAUACCAUUGGCAUGAGACACAAAAGUUAGUUGACAAGGCUGCUCGAGGUAAAAGGUUUUCAGGCCAGGUGACUCUGGAAGCCAAAGGCCUACCAUUUAACAGUGACGAAAACGAGUACGGCAGCACAUCCAAAUCCCUUGCUGCCUGGAGGACUGCAGUGGCACACUGAUUAGGCAGCUAAGCCCGCAGGUUAUUUCAGGGGUACCACUACUCAUCUUGACAGAAAACAUUCACUGGGGACGUGAUUUAGUUGGAAGGUUAGUUCAUGUUUGUUUUCAAAUUUAUUCUUCUAUAAUUGUUUGUAAUAGUCCUUUUCAUGAUUCUUUUUUUAUAAUCAGCAGUCUCCCUCACUGCCCUCCCUCCCCAGGCUUUUACAUCAAUAUUCUAUUUGUGCUUUUCUCUAUUUUUCUUUAUUCAUCUUGCCAGAAUGUUAAUAGAAUUAAUUGUUUCAAAUAUUCAGCUUUUUGUUUGUUUAAUAUUCUAUAGCAUGUGUUGUGUUCACUGUUUCAUUGAUUUCUGCAAUUUUAUUGUUUCAUUUAUUUUCUCCUUGGAUUUAUUCUGUGCUCUUUAAAAUAAUUUUUGACUUGAAAGCAUUGCUAAUUUUAAAAAGUCAUUAAGGUAUAACAUACAUGUAGUAAACUGCUUUUCUUAAUGUACAUUUCUUCAAGUUUUGAUAAAUGCGUAUAGUUGUGCAACUACCACCGCAAUCAUGAUAUAGAAUAGUUCCAU